This 322-nucleotide long non-coding RNA is filed under the name Vulpes vulpes (red fox). RNAcentral describes it as "lncRNA (ENSVVUG00000002559.1)". The record is from RNAcentral. Lineage: Eukaryota; Metazoa; Chordata; Mammalia; Carnivora; Canidae.
AAUUGCAAAAUGUAACCUUGCUGAACAUUUACAGCUGUGCCUUGUUCUUUGUCUAAUCAUCAUAGGUAUUAUUGCAGAAGCACAGGGAGAGCUACCAAAGUGUUUCCCAUAGGACCGAAGGAAAGACUGAAGGGCAAAUGUCAUCUUAGAACUUACAAAGGUUUGUCACUGUGGUGUUCUCCUUGGGAGAAUGUCCUUGAAGAGUCUGUAGUUGCCGAUUGCAAAUGUCACCAUUUUUCGGAGGUGCCCAGGGAGCCCCACAAAGGGCGUUUGGUGAACAACCUUUUAAGGGCUGCGGGCUGAUUCUCAGAGGGAGAACAUU